CUUAAACUCCUGUCCUCAUGUGAUCCGCCCACCUCGGCCUCCCAAAGUGCUGGGAUUACAAACAUGAGCCAUUGCCCCUGGUCUGUAUAUUUACCUUUUUGGGAAACUGCCAAACUAUUUCUAAAGUAGUCAUAUUAAUCUGUUCGCUUUGCUUGAGGCUGGGUAAUUUAUGCAGAAGGGAGGUUUAUUUGACUCACAGUUCUGCAGGCUGUACAAGCAUGGCACUUUGCAUCUGCUCAGCUUUUGAUGAGGCCUCAGGAAGCUGUUACUCAUGAGGUGUAGGGGGAACAGGUGUGUCACAUGGUGAAAGCAGUAACAAGAGAGAUGCCAGGCUUCUUUAAACAACUAGCUCUUACACAAACUAAUAGAGAAAGAACUCACUCAUCACCAACGGGAUCGUGCUAAACCAUUCAUGAGGUAUCCGCUCCAUGAUCAAAAUACCUCCCACUAGGCCCCACCUCCAACAUUGGCGUCACAUUUCAGCAUGAGAUUUGAAACUAUAUAAGUAGUUGAGUCAUUUUACAUUCCAACUAACAGCAUGUUAGAGUUCUAGCUCCUUUAAAGCUUUGGCAACAGUUGGUAUGGUUAGUGUGUGGUGGUAUUUUAUUACGGUUUUAAUUUCCAUUUCCCUAAUGACUAUUGGUGUUGCCUGUCUUUCAUGUGCUUAUUUCCCAUCCAUCUACCUUCUUUGGUAGAGUAUCUGUUCAAGAUAAACCACAUUGUGCACCAUAAAAUGUCUCAAUAAGUUUAAAAGGGUUUAAGUCAUAUAAAGUGUGUUUUCGGACCACAAUGUUAUUACAUUAGAAAUCAGUAACAGAAUAAUAUCUGAAAAAUCCCCAAAUAUUUGGCCCCAGUGUUGCUGUUAAGAAAUCUGCUGCCAAAUCUUCUUGUAUCUUUGGAGGACAUAUGCUCUUUUUUUCCUGGAAGCUUUUAGUAUUUUCUCUUUCUCUUUGUUCUUAAAUGUGCAAUAAUCUUUCUAGGUUCUUAAUCUCUCCUAUUUGGCAUGCAACCCUUUCCAUCUGACUUCUUUUAUCUUUAAUUUAGAGAUAAUUGUUUUUGUUAUUCUCUUAAAUAUUUGUCCUCCCUUUAUGUUCUCUUCCUUUGGACUCCUGUUUUCAGGAUGUCAGCAUGUCUACUUUUAUCCUCCAUGGUAUUUAACUUUUUAUUUCUGUAUUUCUCUCUUUAUCUUUUUUUCUGCCUUCUGAAAGAUGUCCUCAGUCUGCUCUUUCAGUUUUACAAUUUUUCCUUUGGCUGCAUUCAGCUUGCUAUUUAUCCCAUCUAGGAGUCUUACUUGGAAGCAUAAUUUUUUAUACUUUAUGUAUAAUGUCUGUCUGUCUUUAUGACUUUUUUCCUGCUUCCUAUUACCAGUAGCUUUUUGACAAUAUUGAUUGUGCUUAUUUUGUUUCAGUUGUUUGAGACAGUCUCACUCUGUCACCCAGGCUAGAGUACAGUGGUGCAAUCUCAGCUCGCUGCAAACUCCACCUCCCAGGUUCAAGUGAUUCUCCUGCCUCAGCCUCCCGAGUAGCUGGGAUUACAGAUGGCCACCACCAUGCCCAACUAUUUUUUGUAUUUUUCGUAGAGACAGGGUUUCACCAUGUUGGCCUGAGUGGUCUUGAACUCCUGACCUCAAGUGAUCUGCCCACCUCGGCCUCCCAAAGUGCUGGAAUUAUAGGCAUGAGCCAUCGUGCCCAGCGUGGUUGUGCUUAUUUUAAAUUCUUAAUUUGUUUGUUCCAGUAUUUCUGCUUGAUAUCGUGUAUGUUCAGUGUGUGUUUUUCUUUUUGCAGUGGUUCUAACCUCAGGUAUUUUAAGCUGUGAGCUGAUGUUCCCCUGGAGUUAUCAGUGAAUUCUACAAACUAAGCACUGGAAGAAUGUCGAGAUGUUACAGUGAAAAAGGAAGCUAAAUGAGGCCAGAUUGGAGAGCAAAUUGUUAUUAUUUAAAACUUAUGGACCACCUCGAAUAUGCCAAGUUCUAUUUAAGAAAAUACAGAAACAUGAUUCCUUUCAUUUAACAGCUGACAUUUUCAGGAAGUAUACACCACAUUUUUGUGUGUGUUUUACUCCACAUACUGCCAAUAUUUAAACUUGCUUAGUUUGAGGAAUUUCCUCUUAUUAGUUUUCUUUUUCUCAACUUUUUUUUUAGAGUGGUUCUCUUUCUUUUUUAAAUUUUGUUUCUGUUUUCUUUCCUGUUUUUAAAAAUAAAAAUAGAGACUAUGAUCAAAUAUCAUUGCAUAUGUUCCUAUUACUGGGUUGAAAGUUGGUAACUGAAACACUACCUUUAUUCUGUGAUUUUUCUAAAAGCAGGCUGGAUGAACUAUUUGUUAUCCUUUUUGCAAUUGUUCAGUGUGUUUGUCUCUCCACAGAAUGGUAACUGGCUGAUCUCCAUUUUCAUUUCAGGUUAAAAUCAAGGAAAUCAAUUUGAACUGUAGCACGCAAGUUUUAUGUUAAUUACAAACAUAUGAAAAAUGUUCAGUUUUAAGUAAGAUAAUGUUGUUUAUUUUUCCCCCUGUCUUUUAUGCCUCUAAUUCUGCUAUAAAUCAUAUGUAAAAAGAAUUUGGUGAGACGCAGUAAGAAUUCUCAUAAAAUGCUGAUGGGAAGGAAACUUCUGCUGACCAUGAAGGAUACUUAUAGAUACAGUGUAGCUACUCCCCCUGUGCUCCCACCCCCACCAUAUACCAGUGGUUCUUAAACUUUAACAUGCAUCAUAAUCACCCAGAGAGUUUGUUAAAACAGGGAUUGCUGGGCUCCACCUCCAGAGUUUCUGAUUCAGUAAAUCUGGGGCAAGCCUUGAUAAUGUGUUUCCUAACAAGUCCCCAACUCAUAGUGACACUACUAGUCCAGGGAUCAACUCUGAGAAUCACUGCCAUAUACCAAUAUUUCUCAGUACUGACUGCACCUGGGGAUUUUAAAGAGAAUACAACUGCCAAAAAUUACCAGUGCUCAGGUCUGUUCCCACUGAUUCUGAUUUAAUUGGUUGGGAAUGAGGCCAGGAUACCUGUAUUUUAUAAAAGUUCUUCAGGAGAUUCUAAGGUAUACUUAGGUUCAAGAAGCACUUCCUUACACUCAAUCUCCACCCGUCAUUCAGAGAAACUCAUGUAGUUUCUGUUUCACCUUCCAUUAAAGCCUUCAAUGUUAAGCUAUUAUCAAGAUAUUUUUAUAUAGACUGGGAUGCCUAUUAGUCUUAGUCACCACCAAAAUGUAAGUCACUAAGUAUUUAUCCUCUCCCUUACUCUUACUAUUUCUCCAUGAUUUCUCUCCACUAAUCCAUACCUGCUCCUACUUUGCCUUCCACCAUGAGUAAAAGUUCCUUGAGGCCUCCCCAGAAGCAGACGCCGCCAUGCUUCCUGUACAGCCUGCAGAGCCAUGAGCCAAUUAAACCACUUUUCUUAUAAAUUACCCAGUCUCAGGUAUUUCUUUAUGGCAAUGCAAGAAAGGACUGAUACAGGUAAUAAAUCAUUCAUUCAUUCAAAUAAAGUUACCAUAGUGUUGGGGAUACAGAAAAGAGACAGCCCCUUAAGGAGCUCAAAGUCCUCAGAAUACCCUUCCUUUAUUGUGAUUUAGUGCCACUUUUGAAGACAAAAAAGAAGUAAGAGUCUUAUUUCGUGAACAUGUGGCAAAUGUAUGACUCAUUACGUUUAUGGUUCCACUAAGUUUAAAUUAGGAGGAAGUUCCUAAUAAGUAUUUUUAAGCAAAAAAUAGUUGUGAUCGAUUGUAAAAUUAGACACAAAUUAUCUCAUCUCUUUAUGGAUACCCUAUGCAAUGUGAAUUUGUGGUCUUCCCAUCAUGAGGUGAAUUCUAUUUCUCCACCUGGUGAAUUUGGGCUUGGUCAUGUGACUUGAUUGGCCAAUGGGACAUUAUUAACAAAUAAAUGCACUGCAAGUAGAGGCUUGAAAGGUGCUUGUGCAUUGUUGGGGCUUGCUGUCUUGCUGCUCUUCGAGCCUUGAGAUAACCAUGUGAAUGAGCCUCUGGAUGAAGAGAGACACAGGGUCAUGCCAUCCCUGUUACUCCAACUAACAAACACCAGCCACCAAACCUAAGUCGGAGGCUCUCUUAGCCCAUCCAACUCCAGCUGAACCACCAGCUACCAUACAGAUGUGUGAGUGAGCCAGCAGCCAGCAGCUGUGCAGGCCCAGACCGAAAGAACUACCCAUUGGAAAGUAGGUGUUGGAUUCUUUCCAAUCCACAGAACCAAGGACAAUAAUACAUGCUUUAAGUCACUACAUUUUGGGGUGCAUUGUUAUACAGAAUAUAUAUAUUCUAUUGUUAUAUAGAAUUUUUAGUUAUCUUAAAAUUUUUUAAAACUUAAUUUAACCUGCUGUGACUACUGGAUUAGGAUGAUUUCAGAAAGUAAAAAUAGAGUCUUAAAAUGUAACAUUUCUUGCAGCUGGCUGUCGGUUCUAUUGAAUUUUUACCUAAGGAUUUAAAUGAAUUAGUUGACAGAGAUCUUUAUUUUUUAUUAUCUCUGGUGCACAGCGUGAAGUUGAAGUUGGGCGAGGGGUAAAAUUUUCGGUUAGUAGCUGGAUGAAAGAUCAGCCGAUUCUCCCAGCUUUUAGUCUUGCUCUGCCUAGUACACUAUCAGUCAGCAUUUGCUUAAGGAGUGGUUGGUAUUUACUGCUUUUCAGUUCAACAACAGGCUACUUUUUAAAUAUAAAAAUUA
RNAcentral lists this long non-coding RNA (4654 nucleotides) under Homo sapiens (human). RNAcentral's name for it is "HSALNT0107353". Lineage: Eukaryota; Metazoa; Chordata; Mammalia; Primates; Hominidae. The record is from RNAcentral.